CCUACGGGUGGCAGCAGUAGGGAAUCUUCCACAAUGGGCGAAAGCCUGAUGGAGCAACGCCGCGUGGGUGAAGAAGGUCUUCGGAUCGUAAAACCCUGUUGUUAGAGAAGAAAGUGCGUGAGAGUAACUGUUUACGUUUCGACGGUAUCUAACCAGAAAGCCACGGCUAAUUACGUGCCAGCAGCCGCGGCAAUACGUAGGUGGCGAGCGUUAUCCGGAUUUAUUGGGCGUAAAGGGAACGCAGGCGGUCUGUUAAGUCUGAUGUGAAAGCCUUCGGCUUAACCGGAAUAGUGCAUUGGAAACUGGGAGACUUGAGUGCAGAAGAGGAGGGUGGAACGCGGGGUGUAGCGGUGAAAUGCUUAGAUAUAUGGAAGAACACCGAUGGCGAAGGCAGCUCUCUGGUCUGUAACUGACGCUGAGGUUCGAAAGCGUGGGUAGCAAACAGGAUUAGAUACCCUAGUAGUC
RNAcentral lists this ribosomal RNA (465 nucleotides) under uncultured bacterium. Its description in RNAcentral is "partial 16S ribosomal RNA". It matches the Rfam family "Bacterial small subunit ribosomal RNA", at positions 338 to 795 of the family's 1533-position model. The record is from RNAcentral.